CCUACGGGAGGCUGCAGUGGGGAAUAUUGGACAAUGGGCGAAAGCCUGAUCCAGCCAUGCCGCGUGUGUGAAGAAGGCCUUCGGGUUGUAAAGCACUUUCAGUGGGGAAGAAAGCCUUGGGGCUAAUACCCUCGAGGAAGGACAUCACCCACAGAAGAAGCACCGGCUAACUCCGUGCCAGCAGCCGCGGUAAUACGGAGGGUGUGAGCGUUAAUCGGAAUUACUGGGCGUAAAGCGCGCGUAGGCGGUCUGAUAAGCCGGUUGUGAAAGCCCCGGGCUCAACCUGGGAACGGCAUCCGGAACUGUCAGGCUAGAGGGCAGGAGAGGAAGGUAGAAUUCCCGGUGUAGCGGUGAAAUGCGUAGAGAUCGGGAGGAAUACCAGUGGCGAAGGCGGCCUUCUGGACUGACACUGACGCUGAGGUGCGAAAGCGUGGGUAGCAAACAGGAUUAGAUACCCGAGUAGUC
Molecule: ribosomal RNA, 465 nt
Filed under: Vreelandella stevensii
Lineage: Bacteria; Pseudomonadati; Pseudomonadota; Gammaproteobacteria; Oceanospirillales; Halomonadaceae
Description: partial 16S ribosomal RNA
Rfam family: Bacterial small subunit ribosomal RNA
Source: RNAcentral